RNAcentral lists this transfer RNA (68 nucleotides) under Marmota monax (woodchuck). RNAcentral's name for it is "tRNA.Thr". Lineage: Eukaryota; Metazoa; Chordata; Mammalia; Rodentia; Sciuridae. The record is from RNAcentral.
GGUGUUGUGGCUCAGUGGUACAGCACUUACCAAGUACGCAUGAGGCACAGGGUUCAAUCCCAGCACCA